GAUGAACGCUGGCGGCGUGCCUAAUACAUGCAAGUAGAACGCUGAAGCUUGGUGCUUGCACCGAGCGGAGGAGUUGCGAACGGGUGAGUAACGCGUAGGUAACCUGCCUCUUAGCGGGGGAUAACUAUUGGAAACGAUAGCUAAUACCGUAUAAAAGUCGACAUUGCAUGAUGUUGACUUGAAAGGUGCAACUGCAUCACUAAGAGAUGGACCUGCGUUGUAUUAGCUAGUUGGUGAGGUAACGGCUCACCAAGGCGACGAUACAUAGCCGACCUGAGAGGGUGAUCGGCCACACUGGGACUGAGACACGGCCCAGACUCCUACGGGAGGCAGCAGUAGGGAAUCUUCGGCAAUGGACGGAAGUCUGACCGAGCAACGCCGCGUGAGUGAAGAAGGUUUUCGGAUCGUAAAGCUCUGUUGUAAGAGAAGAACGAGUGUGAGAG
This 443-nucleotide ribosomal RNA is filed under the name Streptococcus parasanguinis. RNAcentral's name for it is "bacterial SSU rRNA". It matches the Rfam family "Bacterial small subunit ribosomal RNA", at positions 28 to 461 of the family's 1533-position model. The record is from RNAcentral. Lineage: Bacteria; Bacillati; Bacillota; Bacilli; Lactobacillales; Streptococcaceae.